Molecule: non-coding RNA, 323 nt
Organism: Salvelinus sp. IW2-2015
Lineage: Eukaryota; Metazoa; Chordata; Actinopteri; Salmoniformes; Salmonidae
Source: RefSeq, a predicted model, not a curated record
CUGCUGCUCCAGUUUCAACUGCGGCUAUGGAGGUGCACAGCAGGCUUUUAUUCAACGAGUGAGGGAGCUCACCCUUAACGACAAGGGGUGAAAAGGGGCCACAUAAAAAAAAAUCUGAAGCCCUACAGGGCUUUGUGAUAUAUUUACCAGUGUGGCGCUCUGAAGAAUUAAACAAAUUAAGGACAAGGGACUUGUGACUUGGGGAGAAAAGGUGCCCUCCACCACGUCAACCCUACCCUGACCACCUACCACAUACAAACACACUGGAUCACUUCAUGUAAAUGUUACAUUUGUUGUAAUAAAAUGCAUUGCGCAAAACACCA